CUGAAAGCACUUCGUGAGACCGUGGUUUACACUGAGUGUUUAUGGGUGGUGGUGCAGAGACCACAGUGCUAGAGGACUGGCUAGUGCCAAGAAAUGAGCUUUGGGAAGUAGCCAAAGCCUUUGUAUUAAAAGUUUGAACUUUGUCCAGAAAGCAAUGAGGGAACCAGUGAAAGGUUUUAAGUGGGACAAGGAGGCAAAAAGGUUUGCUCUUCAGAAGAAAAAUCUAUAUACUGUGUUCAGAAAUUGGAGGGGGCAGGACUGAAGUCAGGGAAACCAGCUAGGAGGUUGUUGCCAAUAAAACAUGAUGGCAUUCAAAGGGGAAUGGAAGGAAGGCACAGAUUUAAAAGCUACUUAAGAAACUGAAUCGACAGGGUUUUUAGCUUAUUAGAUCUGUGGGGUAAGGGAGAAAGGGAGAAGGUCACAUCUGACAAGUUUAGGGCCAGAGCAGAGGUCAGCAGAGAUGAGUAGGGAGUAGGAGAGGUUAGUGACAUCACUGAGAUGGGUGACACAAGAGGGGAACAGGUUCUGGGGAGAGAAGAGGAGCCCUGUUUUGAACUUACUUAAUUUGAGGCCCUUGUAGAAAAUCCGUUAGUUAAAUAGGUAAACCUGGGGUUUGAAGACUGACUUGAUCUAAAGAUAUAAAAGCUCCAUUAUAGCACAAUCUUGUUACUGAACCAAACUGGAACCCUUUUCUUCAUACAUUGGGGCCCUUUUAUCAUUAAUGUUUAGUUAUUAAUAUUUUAGGUGGGAGAGCUAUGAAAACUUACUGUACCCAGGAAUGGGUUACCAGUGAAGGCCAGUAGUGUCCCAGUGGGAAAUCCACACUCAAUAACAUUGCAUGUAGAGAGGUCCCUCCACCAAUGGAGUGGAUCACAAGAUCUUUUUGGAAAACGCAACCUAUGGGGGUAAAUCUCAGUUUAAUUCCAGGAGAGCUUGAUUCCCAACUAUUACACUGUUCAAAUUCACCAAAGAGGACAAGGGAGAAGACCAUAUGAAGACGAGGCAGAGACUGGAGUGAUGCUGCCAGAAGCCAAGGAGUGCCUGGAGCCCCCAGAAGCAGGAAGAAGCAAAAGGAAGGAUUCUCCCUCUAGAACCGUCACAGAGAGCACAGCCCCACGGACACUUAUUUUGGACCUCUAGGCUUCCAGAACUGAGAGAGAAUAAAUUUCUGUUGUUCUAAGCCACGCAGUUUGUGGUACUUUGUCAUAGUAUUCUUUGGAAAGAAAUACAACGAUUUUUCUGCAAACAAGAGCUCAAGAGCAUAAACAGUAGUUAAGAAAAAAAGAAAGAAUGAAAGGAAGAAAGAAAUUUUAAAACCUGUUGAGUAGAGCUUCUAUUCUCCAAAUAUUAAAACAAAGGGCAAACAAGAACACCAUAUCCCAUUGGAAAUCGCUCAGUCAGUAGGGAGAAAAACUCUGUUAAUUUGUCAUUUAUGUGGUUGUUAUUUUUGUAAUUUAGUAUUAACGAAAUAUGCUAAAUAUACGAAGGGCUGCAAAAGACAGGAUAGGUGAUAGAGAAAGGAGCUGUUACAACUCUUCUUUGCCAGAAUCAAAACAGCCAGAUAAUAGUUGAAAGAGGUGGAGUAAUUAAAGUAUUUCUCUCAGAGGGAAUCAAGGAAGGCUUCACAGAGGAGGUGACAUCUAAGCUGGAUCUUGAAGCAUGAGUAGGAGUUUCCCAGGCAGACACUAAUGUGGAGUCAGGACAGUUGGUAUUUCACAGAAAACACAGCAUGUGCAAAGAAAGGAAUGUCGCCCGCCAUUCCAGUUCUAUAAGGAUCAAGCCAUCAGCCCUGUCGCUGCAGUCGCUCAGGAUAACGCACCCUGAGGGGAAUUCAGCGUGGAAGAAAACAGGAAGCAUUCUCUUCUUUGGAUAUACUGGCCUGUGAUAGUUAGGAUGCAUCUCGACGGAAAAAUUUCAAUGACCCCAAGAUUCUUGCAUCUUCUCAUACAUAGAAGAGCACUCAUAUCAUUAACUUGAGAUGUCUGUUCUUUGUGAGCAGCAGUACUCU
Non-coding RNA from Kogia breviceps (pygmy sperm whale), 2008 nucleotides. Lineage: Eukaryota; Metazoa; Chordata; Mammalia; Artiodactyla; Physeteridae. The record is from RefSeq and is a predicted model, not a curated record.